Molecule: ribosomal RNA, 252 nt
Filed under: uncultured bacterium
Lineage: Bacteria
Description: partial 16S ribosomal RNA
Rfam family: Bacterial small subunit ribosomal RNA
Source: RNAcentral
ACGAAGGGGGCUAGCGUUGUUCGGAAUUACUGGGCGUAAAGCGCACGUAGGCGGGUCGUUAAGUCAGGGGUGAAAUCCCGGAGCUCAACUCCGGAACUGCCUUUGAUACUGGCGAUCUUGAGAUCGGAAGAGGUGAGUGGAAUUCCCAGUGUAGAGGUGAAAUUCGUAGAUAUUGGGAAGAACACCAGUGGCGAAGGCGGCUCACUGGUCCGAUACUGACGCUGAGGUGCGAAAGCGUGGGGAGCAAACAGG